AGUGACAGCGUUGAUGAACAUGGGAGUACGUUGAGAAAUGUGGCGAAAGCCAUAGAAAGCGAUGACCAAAUGCGCGCUCUUGGUCGAGAGCUCGGUUUUUCGAAGCGUUUCCUUGAUAGGUUUGCUGCCUCGAACAGGAUAGAAGGGAUGGUUACGUGUAAAGGGAACACCGACAUGCUGUUUGAAUGGCGCCAAGAAGUGGUUCCUUCGGAGUUACCCUUUCGACUGAAGAAAGCGCUACGUAAAGCUGGUCUCGUUUUCCUUGCUGAAAAGCAUUUUCCCGACAUCUUGCAACCGGAAGGUUAACAUUUUAUCAAUGUAAUUACGAUGGUCUGAAUGUGUCAACUUGAUGCCUUGUGAUUUCGUUUAUGAGUCUGGACGACUUCACCAGGAUUUCCCCACCCGGAAAACAGUCAACCGGACGAUCACCUUCCUAAGACAAUUACUAGUCCAGAAUGGCGGGGAUUGUUCAUAACAAUUUAUCGUUUUGAAGGCAGUCAUUCUUUUUCAACACGAUGACAAAGCAUUUUAAGAAGUUAACUUAAGGACAAUUCAUACACUCUUUAGUAUUUUAUAAAAAAAUCAUGUUCGGAUGACGUCACUGUAAUUUUCGUACAUUUCAGUAUCUGAUGCACAAGGCUAUUUAAUUUGUCUUAGGUUGUUUUUGGAAAGUCGAUUACGAUUUACGAUUAUGACUUUCCCCACUCGAUAGUUGUUCGAGUGGAAAUUGAUAGCGCAAAAGCUACUGCAACAGCCUACCUGCGGAAACAUCUGAUUGACUAUUACAAGACCGAGACGUGUCAGAUAAAGAGAAAGCCGUGGGAUCCGGAAGACUUUGCUGAUUUGAAGAACCUGUUUACAAACGUUAUCGUGUACUUUGUAAACAAGAAUACGGGAGCGGGUACGAGAGAGAUUCUUCCUGGGUCGAUCAGUGAUGUGUUUCGGGUGAGAGUCAAUAGACUUAUACCAAAUCGAGUCAUCUCAGUUGCAGAAGCGGGAAGGGGCAAGACCUGCGCCGUUGCAAAGAUGGCAUAUGACUGGUCAUACUAGGAAGAGGAGACUAGCUUCUUUGCUUUGAAGUUGAGAGUGGUUGAUGAAGACAUGUCUCUAGGAGAAGCCAUACUGUCCGAAACCCUCGGGAACAUCCACGGAGUGACCCCAGAAUCUCCUGAAGGGUUCAUUGGCAGACAUGAAGAUGAUUGUGGGCUAGCGCAGGAUGGGUAUGAUGAAUACAAGGGUAAGUUGUCUACAAAGCACCUAAAGAGCAUUAUCAUAUUGGCUAUUGGAAACAAGAUUUACAGGUGAUGUCGCCUUAUCGUCACCAGUCGACCUUAUCUAGAGAAGGAGUUUAAAAUUCCAAGACUGACCAGAGUCUACAUGAAAAUGGAAAUUGAGGGCUUCACACAAUCCCAAGCGAUGUCCUUUAUCGAUAAAUACUUCACGUCGAAGUAAAAACCGGAAGAAGUUGGCAAAUUAACAUAGUAUAAACAUAGUAUAAACAUAUAUAACAUAAUAAACAUGGUAAUGCAUUUAUCGAUACCAUCGUCAGCGUACCACUCUUCUGCAUGAUGAUCUGUCAUCUCCGGGAAGAAGGCCUUCUUAACCAGGUUUCUUCCCUGACACGGUUGUUUGACAACAUCAUCCAGUUUCUUCUCACUCAUUUAAGAUCCAAGGACGAUACGUUUGAAUGUGACUAUCACGCCCUCCUUCGAAACCUCAGAAAGUGGUACUCACUGGACUCUUGAAGGACGAGCAGAAGGUGGUAUUUGAAGAUACUGAUCUUCAAGGGUUCGAAGAAUACGAAGGCAUUGCUAUCAAACUGGGUCUGCUGUCAAAGAAGACAAUUCCAGUCACAUACAUGAUAAACGGGAAAGCCUCAAAGACGUACGUCGAGUUCUUUCACAAAAUGGCACAGGAGUAUUGUGCAAGCAAGUUCUUGGCCGGUUCACAGGGCGAUCUCGACCAGAAGUGCCACACCGCUCAUGUAUGCCGAUGUGCUCCGCUUCUUGGCAGGUUUGGAUGACAAUCUGCUGAUGUCUUCUAUUAACUCAUCCUGGAACUUGAGGAGAGAGUGAUCGGCAAAGAAAUCAAGCACAGACUUCUUCUGGAUUGCAUUGGUGGAACCAGAGGUGACAUAUCGAAAUCAACGACUAACUUUCCAACGACCUUUGACGAUGGCAAGCUGUGUCUGCAUUCAUUGUCAUCGAGUGCAGUCAUGGGAUUGAGUAGACUGCCGCCCAAUGUUCGAAAACAGAUUAGGUCUGUGGAUCUCAUGUAUUGCCAUCUGCGGGCACACCUGACACGAAUUCUUUGGGUUGGUCUGCGAUCUUGUACCAAUCUGGAAGAGAUGAAGGUAUGGGGGUGCUGUCUACAACAUUCCAAAUUGGUCACACUUACUUUCAUCAAGCGUCUCACAAUUGGGCACCUCGACAACUCCAGUGAACAUUGCUCACUCAUCACUGCCGUUCCCAACGUCCAAAGCCUCAAAGUGGAGAGUAGUCCAAACUUCGACAAUCUUCAGCAGGUCUUGGACUCGGUCAUGGUAGGACUGGGGGAUACAACGGUCAGAUGUCGAUCUCAUGCGCCGAAACGCUUAUCUGCAGCCUCGAGGCAGACGCACCCUUCUUGGAGAAGCUGGAAUUGUACGACGUCAAUCUGCAUUGGAAUAUUCUGAAGACAUUCGUUUCCAGGCUGAGGCGGAUACCUAGCAUGAGGGAGAUCGAUUUUCAGUACUGCGGCACCCACGAAGGGGGAGACUUUGAAGAGUAUCUCGGCGAAAUCUCUACAGUAAAUGAUGGCGAGAUUGCGGUGACAUUACGCCAUGCAUACCGAGGAGGCAGAACCUAUGGCAUUUGCCACUCUACAAUUUGAGUGCAGCCUACGAAGAAUUUCAGAAGAACAUCAUUAACCAUUUUAAACAUCAAUUAUCAACAGUUAUGUACACA
Molecule: long non-coding RNA, 2945 nt
Organism: Strongylocentrotus purpuratus (purple sea urchin)
Lineage: Eukaryota; Metazoa; Echinodermata; Echinoidea; Camarodonta; Strongylocentrotidae
Exons: 4
Source: RefSeq, a predicted model, not a curated record